RNAcentral lists this ribosomal RNA (404 nucleotides) under Actinomycetes bacterium. RNAcentral describes it as "Actinobacteria bacterium partial 16S ribosomal RNA". It matches the Rfam family "Bacterial small subunit ribosomal RNA", at positions 355 to 776 of the family's 1533-position model. The record is from RNAcentral. Lineage: Bacteria; Bacillati; Actinomycetota; Actinomycetes.
UGGGGAAUAUUGGACAAUGGGCGCAAGCCUGAUCCAGCCAUGCCGCGUGAGUGAUGAAGGCCCUAGGGUUGUAAAGCUCUUUCACCGGUGAAGAUAAUGACGGUAACCGGAGAAGAAGCCCCGGCUAACUUCGUGCCAGCAGCCGCGGUAAUACGAAGGGGGCUAGCGUUGUUCGGAUUUACUGGGCGUAAAGCGCACGUAGGCGGACUAUUAAGUCAGGGGUGAAAUCCCGGGGCUCAACCCCGGAACUGCCUUUGAUACUGGUAGUCUUGAGUUCGAGAGAGGUGAGUGGAAUUCCGAGUGUAGAGGUGAAAUUCGUAGAUAUUCGGAGGAACACCAGUGGCGAAGGCGGCUCACUGGCUCGAUACUGACGCUGAGGUGCGAAAGCGUGGAGAGCAAACAGG